AAACAGUGAUAUUUGAGGCUUUUGCUUGUUCUUAAGGAUUUAAUUGAGAAUGGCUCUUGGGAAUAUGACCUAAAAGAGGUUAAUUAUUAUUGUAAUCAAAGAAUUUUAAUCUUGAAAAACCAAUCACAAUUACAAAGUUUAGUUAGAGUUACCAAAUAGACAUGUUCAGGACUCUAAGGGAAUUAUCCCAGGAAUGGCAUGUCUCUGGUAGAGGCUGCGGCUUUAGCAGAAUGAGAAUUUGUGUAGAUGUGGGACAGAGCAGAUAGUGAGCCACCAACACGCAGUGUGGGCUCCACUCUGGGAGCAUGGGCUACCAUCUUCAAGUCCACCACUGAGCCAAGAAGGGAGAUGGAGCAAAGAUGUCUCUCAAUGUCUUCCAAGUUUAAACUGAGAUGUAUGCAAAGAAAACAUCCAAGAUACAAAUGUUCUUGAGCCCUAGCUGGGAUGUUGUCCCCAAAUCACUAUGUAGGCUCUCAACCUGAGGAACUGUUCCAUUCUACCUAUCAGUUACAAAUAAAAUUAGUAAAAAUUAGUAAAAACUGCAAGGAAAUUGUGUUUGUUUCUAUUUGCCGUUACUGCUCAAAUAAUAGUGGCAGCCUGAAGCACUGGGUUUAAAAGAUUUUGAGGCUACAUCUGAAUAUGUUGGAGUACCACGAUACAAAAGUGAUUUCUUCUAUAGGUAUGCAUAAGAAAGGAAAUGUAUG
Molecule: long non-coding RNA, 704 nt
Filed under: Equus caballus (horse)
Lineage: Eukaryota; Metazoa; Chordata; Mammalia; Perissodactyla; Equidae
Description: lncRNA (ENSECAG00000059053.1)
Source: RNAcentral